This 325-nucleotide ribosomal RNA is filed under the name Ubatubesia amplicoxae. RNAcentral describes it as "partial small subunit ribosomal RNA". Lineage: Eukaryota; Metazoa; Arthropoda; Arachnida; Opiliones; Gonyleptidae. The record is from RNAcentral.
CCCUAGUAUUAGGUUUUAUAUAUUAAUUAGUAUUUUGAAAAUUAAUAAUUUUGGUGGUUGAAUUUUAAAUUAGAGGAGCUUGUUUUGUGAGAAAUUACUCUUUAUAUUUAACUUUAUAGGGGUUUAUUCAUCUCCGUUAUUAAAAUUAAUUUGUUAAAAAUAAAUAUUUUGUAUUUCAGGUCAAGAUGUAGCUUUAUAUUAGAUAAGGAAAUUAGCUACUAUUAUAGAAUAAUGGAUUCUUUAAGGAAGAAUUUGAGGAUGAAAUUGAAUUUGGUUGUAAUUUUGUAAAUUAAAGGGUUAGGAUGAAUUUUAAUAGUUUGACAUA